RNAcentral lists this ribosomal RNA (253 nucleotides) under uncultured bacterium. Its description in RNAcentral is "partial 16S ribosomal RNA". It matches the Rfam family "Bacterial small subunit ribosomal RNA", at positions 524 to 776 of the family's 1533-position model. The record is from RNAcentral.
UACGUAGGGGGCAAGCGUUGUCCGGAAUUAUUGGGCGUAAAGAGCACGUAGGCGGUAAUAUAAGUUGGAUGUGAAAGGCUAUGGCUCAACCGUAGAGCUGCAUCCAAAACUGUAUCACUUGAGUGCAGAAGAGGAGAGUGGAAUUCCCGGUGUAGCGGUGGAAUGCGUAGAUAUCGGGAGGAACACCAGUGGCGAAGGCGACUCUCUGGUCUGUAACUGACGCUGAGGCGCGAAAGCGUGGGGAGCGAACAGG